Fusibacter sp. 3D3 is the source of this 75-nucleotide non-coding RNA. The record is from Rfam. NCBI's taxonomy places the organism in Bacteria, Bacillati, Bacillota, Clostridia, Eubacteriales, Fusibacteraceae.
UUAAGCCGUAUGACGUGAAAGUGUCAUCUACGGUUCAUGGAGGGAAGAGGGUGUAAAUCCUCUGACUUACCCGAC